CGAUAUCCUCCCCGGCCGCGGGCUCGCAUUGCCCGCACGCCCACGAGAUCCGGUCACUGUCGCCGGUCGGGAUUGUUGUUGGUGACUAAUGAUGAAGCCCCCUCCACGCUCGCGGCCGCGUCCUGUUUCGCAGGCGGGGCAAUGCGAACUGCACUGCGCUGCGGGAUCAGGAGCAAGCCAGAUGGGUAGCUGUAGUGGGGGACUGGGGGCUUGGCGGCGCACGGACGAUAUGCGCUCAUCAGCUCAUGGCUGGCCGCGGCUAACGCUCGUACCCCUGAAGCGGAGUCCUCCCGCAGUAGUCGUGGCCUACUUCCCUCCCAGUUCCUCACUCCGUGCAGCCCCCUUCUGGCCUUCUCUUAGCACCGGCCCGUGUCGCCGCCAAGCAGCAUCGGACGAGGGAGCCGACUAAUACGGGCGAUGAUUGCUGGAGGAAGCAGGCGGGCUGGUGAAGGUAUGGACUAUGCAGUAUGUGGCCACUGGUGGGUUGGUCGCCAGCGAACACGCGACACUAUGCCCAACCAGGACAUAUUCGUAUACCUGCUGCGGUACUACCUGCUCAACAUGCUGCUCCGCGGCAGCACAAGCGAUCAUGGUCACCAUAAUUGCCUACCCUCAAAAUAAAGACCACCUUCUGCUACAAUCAUGAGUUCAUGACUGAGUGCUCAAUCCAUGGAUCACACAACCCUUCCCGGGACAGUUAAGUGGUUAUGGUUAACCAUGUAUUUUCUGAUCUGUUGCUGACCCUCUUUGUUAGUUUUUCCCCUUGUUAGUUUCAGUAUUCGGUAAUAUAGGUUUGUUUGAACUAGACUUGCAUGACUAAGUUGUAAUUGUCCUGAAUUAUUCCAUUUACCAGAAAAUUUGAUAUAGUGAUAAAUUGACAAUCUCGGGUAUAUUAAAAUUUAAAUACAUUUUCUUAAAGAAACAGAAGAAACCCAAACCAGAAGAUCUAGAACCAAAACAAUUAGUAACUACAGCUAUGUAUCAGCAAGCCAAUAAUUUUUAUCAAAAGACCAAGCAAAAUAACAACUGAUAAUUCUGUUGUUGUGGCUUUGUCCAAAUUUCAAACUGUUUCUGUGCCAUCGAAAUGUAUAAUAUAAUUACAACUUCUCCAUGUAGUAGUAAUGUAAAGCAAUCAAGCAAAUGAAAAAACACUGAACUAUAUAUCAUGAUAAUUUUAGUACCCAACACAAAUGCCUCAGCAUACGUACAGUUCAUAGAAAUUUAAUAGAAAUUUAGCGCCUCCAACAUUACUUUUGUUCAUGUUCUCAUUUAUGUCUAUAUAUAAGGCUGCCAAGAUUUGAGCCAACAAACAACUAAAUUAGCAGUUUGACAAUGCUUGGUCGUUUCAUUUAACUUCCCACUCUUGUAUCAACACAUUUAAAACUCAGUCCUUUACAAUUCAGGAACAGAAAUAACUUCAUUUUUUUUGUAGAACAGAUCAAAAAUACCGAUGGAUUAGAAAUCAGAACAAGAAUAUUUAUAUUAGUAGCACUGAGUAUAGGGUCAAGCUGUCAUUUUCCUUAGUUUUUCAUUCUAUGUGCAUUCAGAAUUUCAGAUCAUAUCCUAAUUCAUAUCCUAAUUCCAACUGAGAGGGGAUACAAUCUUCUAUUUUCUGAGCUCCAUUUUGUGUAUUCAUCUGCUCAAGAUAUCCUCAGUUCCUUAGUCUUUACUAACCAUUCUAACCACAACCUGAAUUGAUGUGUCCUUAAGUAAGAUUAUGCUCGCGUUCUCUUUUUCAACCAUAAACUAUCCUCGCUCACGUUCCUGCCUCCGACUUCUCCCACUUCCAAUGUGGCUCUCUUCGUGAAGUUUCUGAGGCAAGUCCCGGCCGGCAGAAGAGGAACGUUUUUAUCCUGUUCUUUCCUCUCUUUCCUUAGCCGCUAUUUCAGUACUACUUAUUCUAACAAAAACUCACUCUGUAUUUUCAGGAACUAGCACCAAGAAAGUGAAGAGCAAGAUUUAAAAAAGAUUAAUGGUGAUGAUGACAAGAAGCAUGACGAACAGAAGAGGAAGAAGCUAAAAAUAGAGGAAUGAUCAAGUUAAGUUACCCUUACAUAUUGUAGUUAUGAGAAAAGGAAGUCUUGCACUAUUUACCAAAUUAAUUUCUGCAAGUAUUUUUUUCCCUAAAAAGUGCCUUUACUACCUGCAUAUUCCCAUUUUGAAAAGGAUU
Panicum virgatum (switchgrass) is the source of this 2170-nucleotide long non-coding RNA. RefSeq lists it as uncharacterized. The record is from RefSeq and is a predicted model, not a curated record. The transcript has 2 exons. Lineage: Eukaryota; Viridiplantae; Streptophyta; Magnoliopsida; Poales; Poaceae.